AUACUUACCUGGCAGGGGAGAUACCUUGAUCACAAGGGUGGUUUUCCCAGGGUGAAGCUUAUCCAUUGCACUCCUGGUGUGCUGACUCCUGCAAUUUCCCAAGUGUGAGAAACUUGCCUGCAUAAUUUGUGGUCGUGGGGAACUGCACCUGCGCUCUCCCCU
RNAcentral lists this small nuclear RNA (162 nucleotides) under Dasypus novemcinctus (nine-banded armadillo). RNAcentral's name for it is "U1 spliceosomal RNA (ENSDNOG00000031792.1)". It matches the Rfam family "U1 spliceosomal RNA". Rfam says of the family: U1 is a small nuclear RNA (snRNA) component of the spliceosome (involved in pre-mRNA splicing). Its 5' end forms complementary base pairs with the 5' splice junction, thus defining the 5' donor site of an intron. There are significant differences in sequence and secondary structure between metazoan and yeast U1 snRNAs, the latter being much longer (568 nucleotides as compared to 164 nucleotides in human). The record is from RNAcentral. Lineage: Eukaryota; Metazoa; Chordata; Mammalia; Cingulata; Dasypodidae.